This 494-nucleotide ribosomal RNA is filed under the name uncultured bacterium. RNAcentral describes it as "partial 16S ribosomal RNA". It matches the Rfam family "Bacterial small subunit ribosomal RNA", at positions 28 to 507 of the family's 1533-position model. The record is from RNAcentral.
GACGAACGCUGGCGGCGCGCUUAACACAUGCAAGUCGAACGGAAAGGCCUGCUUUCCCUUGUGGAUUGCGGGUACUCGAGUGGCGAACGGGUGAGUAACACGUGAGUGAUCUGCCCCCAACUUGGGUAUAAGCCUGGGAAACUGGGUCUAAUUCCCGAUAGGACUACAGGGUGGUGCCUGUGGUGGAAAACGAUUUUCUAGUGGUUGGGGAUGAGCUCGCGGCCUAUCAGCUUGUUGGUGGGGUAAUGGCCUACCAAGGCGGCGACGGGUAGCCGGCCUGGGAGGGUGGACGGCCACAUUGGGACUGAGAUACGGCCCAGACUCCUACGGGAGGCAGCAGUGGGGAAUAUUGCACAAUGGGCGGAAGCCUGAUGCAGCGACGCCGCGUGGGGGAUGACGGCCUUCGGGUUGUAAACUCCUUUCGACCGCGAGGAAGCCACCUGGUUGGAAGGGUGGUGACGGUAGUGGUAGAAGAAGCACCGGCUAACUACGUG